AAUAUAUGAGGAUCGAAGUAGCAUUAAUGGGCAUAAAAUUCCCAUGAAAGAUUAAUAUCGGUGUUGCUAGACCUUAUACAUAAUUAGGCAGUUGGUGAUGUAACGGAUUACCAAGCCCGCGAUGUUUAGCUGGUUUGGGAGAAUGAUCAGCCACAACGGGACUGAAAGACCGCCCGUCUUCUUUGAGGAGGCAGCAGUGGGGAAUCUUGGACAAUGAGCGAAAGCUUGAUCCAGCAAUUUCGCAUGUAUGAAGAAGACCACUAAACGUUGUAAAGUACUAAGCUCGGGGAUAAUAAUGACGGUACCCGAGUAAAAAGCCCUGACUAACUUCGUGCCAGCAGUCGCGGUAAAACGGAGAGGGCAAGUGUUAUUCGUAUUGACUGGGUGUAAAGGGUACGUAGGCGGUUAUUUAAGUUAUAAAAAAAAGGUAUAUCUUUUUAUAAUACUAUAUGACUAGAGUUAAAAAGGGGAUGGCGGUACCUCCAGUUUAGAAGUGACAUUCGUUUGAGAUUGGGGGGACCAACAAUAGGCGAUGGCUGCUUUCCAUUUUUAUACUGACGCUGAGGUACGAAAGCAUGGGGAGCGAACAGGAUUAGAGACCCUGGUAGUCCAUGCCCUGACCGAUGAAUAUUAAUCGUCCAUUUAGAUAGUGGAUGACUAAGCUAACGCGAAAAUAUUCCACCUGAGGACUACGGCCGCAAGGUUAAAACUCAAAGAAAUUGGCGGAAGAUCGUUUAAGCGGUGGAGUAUGUGGUUUAAUUCGAUAAUACGCGAAAAACCUUACCAAUCUUUGUGCACAUUUUCGGUUGUAUAAAACUUGUAGCCUAAAUUGAGGUGGUCAAUUUGGGCUAGAUAUGUGCCAGGCGUUGCAUGGCUGUCGUAAGCUCGUGUCUUAGGAUGUGUGGUUAACUCCAUGAACGGGCGCAACCCUUGUUCCUAAUUAGAUUAGGAAUGAAAACAGUGAAAACUGCUUUUGAGGAUGAGGAGUAUGUCAAGUCAAUAUGACCUUUAUAGAUUGGGCUACACACGUACUACAACGGUAGCUACAAUGAGAAACAAUGCCGCGAGGCGGAGUAAA
Molecule: ribosomal RNA, 1078 nt
Filed under: Balamuthia mandrillaris
Lineage: Eukaryota; Discosea; Longamoebia; Balamuthiidae
Description: SSU rRNA
Rfam family: Bacterial small subunit ribosomal RNA
Source: RNAcentral